Small nucleolar RNA from Homo sapiens (human), 130 nucleotides. Lineage: Eukaryota; Metazoa; Chordata; Mammalia; Primates; Hominidae. The record is from Ensembl.
UGUCCUUGGCCUGGGUAGAGUGGCACCUAGUUGGUGGUGCCCAUAUUAGCCAGGGACAAAGCAACCCUUUGUUCAUCCCAGCUUGGCUUUUGAUCUGUACCUAUACCUGGUUCAUGCCUUAGACACAUGG